Molecule: ribosomal RNA, 487 nt
Filed under: uncultured bacterium
Lineage: Bacteria
Description: SSU rRNA
Rfam family: Bacterial small subunit ribosomal RNA
Source: RNAcentral
AGGACGAACGCUGGCGGCGUGCUUAACACAUGCAAGUCGAGCGGAAAGGCCCUUCGGGGUACUCGAGCGGCGAACGGGUGAGUAACACGUGAGUAACCUGCCCCUAGCUUCGGGAUAGCUCCGGGAAACCGGAAUUAAUACCGGAUACGACGACGGCCGACAUCGGCCGUGGUGGAAAGAUUUAUCGGCUAGGGAUGGGCUCGCGGCCUAUCAGCUUGUUGGUGGGGUAACUGCCUACCAAGGCGACGACGGGUAGCCGGCCUGAGAGGGCGACCGGCCACACUGGGACUGAGACACGGCCCAGACUCCUACGGGAGGCAGCAGUGGGGAAUAUUGCGCAAUGGGCGAAAGCCUGACGCAGCGACGCCGCGUGGGGGAUGAAGGCCUUCGGGUUGUAAACCUCUUUCACCAUCGGCGAAGCCCAAGGCUUUGUUUGGGUGACGGUAGGUGGAGAAGAAGCACCGGCCAACUACGUGCCAGCAGCCGC